UCAAGUUAUUAAGGGUGCAGGGCGAAUGCCUUGGCACUAGGAGCCGAUGAAGGACGUGAUAAGCUGCGAUAAGCUUGGGGGAGUUGCACGUAAACUGUGAUCCCAAGAUUUCCGAAUGAGGAAACUCACUUAGAGUAAUGUCUAAGUAUCGUAUAGUGAAUACAUAGCUAUGCGAAGGGAACCCGGGGAACUGAAACAUCUAAGUACCCGGGGUUGUCCCGGCCGGAGGCGAUGGCGGCGGCGGUGGGGGGCGAGCGAACGCGGAACAGGCCAAACCAGUGAAGUUUUCUUCGCUGGGGUUGCGGACAUAUCAUAACGAAGAGGUAUCGUAGAGGAAGAGAGUUGGAAAGCUCCGCCAUAGAUGGUAACAGCCCAGUAUUUUAAACGAGAAGACUUUAGAUAUGAUCCAGAGUACCACGGGACACGUGAAACCCUGUGGGAAGCAGGAGGGACCAUCCUCCAAGCCUAAAUACUACCUAGUGACCGAUAGCGUAUAGUACCGUGAGGGAAAGGUGAAAAGAACCCCGGGAGGGGAGUGAAAGAGAACCUGAAACCCUGCACUUACAAGCUGUAGGAGCACAUUAUUUGUGUGACUGCGUACUUUUUGUAGAACGGGCCAACGAGUUACGUUGUGUAGCAAGGUUAAGCACUUAAGGUGUGGAGCCGUAGCGAAAGCGAGUCUUAAAUGGGCGUCCAGUUACCCGACGUAGACCCGAAACCAGGCGACCUAUCCAUGAGCAGGUUGAAGCGAAAGUAAAAUUUCGUGGAGGACCGAACCCACGUACGUUGAAAAGUGCGGGGAUGACUUGUGGAUAGCGGUGAAAUUCCAAUCGAGCCUGGAGAUAGCUGGUUCUCCCCGAAAUAGCUUUAGGGCUAGCCUCAAGCUUAGAGAAACGGAGGUAGAGCACUGAAUGUCCUAGGGGGUAUUGCACUUACCGAAGACUAUCAAACUCCGAAUGCCGUAUUCUUUUGCUUGGGAGUCAGACUAUGGGUGAUAAGAUUCAUAGUCAAGAGGGCAACAGCCCAGAUCGUCAGCUAAGGUCCCUAAAUGUAAGUUAAGUGGUAAAGGAUGUGGAAUUGCACAGACAACCAGGAUGUUGGCUUAGAAGCAGCCACUCAUUUAAAGAGUGCGUAAUAGCUCACUGGUCGAGUGAUUCUGCGCCGAAAAUUUCCGGGGCUAAAACUUACUACCGAAGCUACGGCAUCAUUAUGAUGGGUAGGGGAGCUUUCUAUACGGGUUGAAGCAUGACCGUAAGGACAUGUGGACUGUAUAGAAGUGAGAAUGUUGGCAUGAGUAGCGAGAUGUGGGUGAGAAUCCCACAGGCCGUAAACCCAAGGUUUCCAGGGGAAGGUUCGUCCGCCCUGGGUUAGUCAGGACCUAAGCCGAGGCCGAAAGGCGUAGGUGAUGGACAACAGGUUGAUAUUCCUGUACCACCAAUAACCGUUUGAGAAAUGGGAUGACACAGUAGGAUAAGCUAACCGCACUGUUGGUUAUGUGCGGGCAAGUAUUGAGGCAGUUCCGAUAGGCAAAUCCGUCGGAAUAAUGCUGGGGUACGAUGCGGAGCGAAAUUAAGUAGCGAAGUAGCUGAUUUCACACUGUCGAGAAAAGUCUCUAUCGAGGUUAAAGGUGCCUGUACCGCAAACCGACACAGGUGGGUGAGGAGAGUAUCCUAAGGCCAGCGAGAGAACUGUUGUUAAGGAACUCGGCAAAAUGACCCCGUAACUUAGGGAGAAGGGGUGCCUUCGAAAGAAGGCCGCAGAGAAUAGGCCCAAGCGACUGUUUACCAAAAACAUAGGUUUCUGCUAAGUCGCAAGACGAUGUAUAGGAGCUGACGCCUGCCCGGUGCUGGAAGGUUAAGGGGAUCUGUUAGAGCAAUCGAAGCAGUGAACUUAAGCCCCAGUAAACGGCGGCCGUAACUAUAACGGUCCUAAGGUAGCGAAAUUCCUUGUCGGGUAAGUUCCGACCC
Molecule: ribosomal RNA, 1967 nt
Filed under: human gut metagenome
Description: bacterial LSU rRNA
Rfam family: Bacterial large subunit ribosomal RNA
Source: RNAcentral